UCAACCUUUACCUUGUGAAGCUACUUUGUGAAUAGUGCUGUGGGGUCAGCGAGGAAAAUUAUUGAACUUGUGUCAGAAGAAAAGAACCUGACCCCCUUUUGACCCCCUGACAUCUUCACAUCUUCCAAGAGCUGCAGGACUGAGCUCAUCCUUGUCUUCUAGCACUGCAGGUUGCAUUUAUGCAUGAAGACCUGGAGUCCCAGCUCGUUUGAGGCGGACCUACAGCUGCGCAGGCUGCAGAGCCCAGACUGUAGGAUCCAACCCAAGUUUGCAAAAAGACCUGCUUCACAGCCUGGGGAAAUACAUCCUAUAGAGAGGUCAGGACUCAGUUUUUCUCUAUGAAACUGUGGCAGCACGUCCUCCGAGAGUGAUCGGCUUCUCAAUUUCCUUGCCAUAGUGAGUGAGUCAUUUCUGCAACACUUCUGGAAAGUAACCCUGUCCCUCUACACGCAUGGGGCACAGGUAGGAUCUUCGGAUUUCAUUAAAUGAAGGAACAGUUUGCUUGUCCCAGAUUUCCAGCUUCUCUGCCAUGGGUCCGGGAGAGAGCGCGUCUCCAACUCGGGAGGCUCGUUAACCGCCCGGACAGGACGUGGUGCCGACUCGUCGGCGUCUGCCGCGGAUCUGCAGCAGUUGAAAGGGGGCUUCGCCGUCCCCCCUCCUCAGGCGUGUGGCUGUGAAAAGGCUGCCGGUUUCUCCUCUGGGUGUCUGCUGCUCAUCGCCCUGCACUCAGACUCCAGCUCGGGAGGCUCUGGAUUAGUGAGGCUGCUCUAAAUUAUUUAGCCGUUUUGCCUUGCUAGAAUCGCCGAGAACCUUUCUUUCCUCCUCUGCUGCUGUUUUAGGGUGGAAGGGAGGGUAAGAAAGAAUAGCAGGAGACAGCCUGACCUCAGAACUGGACGCAGCUGAUCUCUGGGGCGGCACUGUUGGUCCUCCAGCCAGCUGGUGUCCUGUUGCAGGGAGGACCGAACAUGCAACCACCACCCCUGCCUCCUCGCCAGAGCUCCAGGGGAGGAGAGGGACAGAGGUGCCGCAGGGAGGCAGAGGAGAGACCCGGGCGAGGAAGAGUGUACGCUGUGUGAUCGGCCGUCAUCUGAGCCCUAUUGUUCUCGUGGCCUUUUCAUCCAAGCGUUCCUCCUGUUCCUCCUCAUCCCCUCAGAGUCCCUGUGUGUCUCUCGCGGGCUCUCACACACACACUCAGAAGUGCUGGGGUUGAAAUGACGUGGCGGACAGAGUCAGAUUCAACAGACAGGCGAGCUCUCACCUCGCCCUCGUCCACUCUCUCUCUUCCUCCCUCAUUUUCCCGCUCCUCCCUCCUCUCUGCCUCCCUCUAUCCCUUACCCUUCCCUGUCCGUCAGUCCCUGUGGGAGGGAACGGUAUGGACUGGGCAGCAGCGAGACGAGCCUGUCCUGCCCAGCCUCUGCUGACCCAAUCAGCUCCACUCACAGGGCUCCAUUACAGUGCUGCCAACACACAGCCGCAGACAACAAAGAUCUGCAGCGGCAACAGGUAAUCAGCACCAGCAGCGUAGGAGAAAUAAAACAUCCAUAACUGUACCCUCAGCUCGCUGGCUGCCCCCCCCCGCCUCUGCGCCUGCAGCAUAGCUGUACCCACUGAGGACACUGGCAGGGCCAGGCGCAGCCUCCCACCCAGCACAUGGCCUCGCUUCGGCACCGCAGACGCCAGGCCGAGGCGUGGAUUUAAGAGCGCGCAGGGGCCUGGGCCGGCGAGGGGUCUGUCAUUGCAGCCACAGGGGAACGUGCGUAGAUGCAGCGGAGGGGUUCUGUCAGAUGGGGCUCGGGGCCAGCCCGCGGUCUGCAGUGACCUCACACAGGCGCGCAGGUGGGAUGAAUCAACCACACUGAAUCACCGGGCGGGUGGCGUCAUCGCGCCAGGAGGGACGCUCCACGGGGCGGGAUUGCUUCCCCUUGGAUUCUCCUGCUGUGGAGCCCAGGUGUCUGCCGCCUGCGUCAGGAGUCCAGCCAAGCGAACGGGUGCUGCAAAUCCAUCGAGCACUUAACCGGCGUAUCCAGCACACGCACCAAAGCCUUCCUGCUUAGAUAGGAAUUUUGUAAAAACAAAACGAUCCCCGCCUCUGCCCGUAUAUCAGGAGAGGAAGGGUCUUUGUGUUAAAACAAAGCCUGUUUUUAUCAGAGUGCUUUAGCUGGAGCAGCUCCCUAUCCAGAGCCUUACUCCCCCCCGGCUGGCGAGGGUGAGAACGAGUGUUUCAUUUCCUGCUCUCCCUCUGUCCUGUGUCGGAGCCUGCCUGCGUGUCAGCCGUGAUGGAUGAGGAGCGAUCUCUGGCCUGGCGCGCGGGCCGGCAUCCGCCAGUCAUCCGCCAGGCUCACUUUUUAAUCCGCCGACUUUCCCCGGCCAGAGCGGGCUCGCACCUACAGAACAAGGCAGCAGGCGAUGCCAGAGCCCCCCGGAUCAAGCUGGCUGUAACUUCCAAAAAAAGGGAUUAACAUCGCUAAAGUUUCCAAUCUCCCCGCAGGAGCUCAGAUGGCAAAGGCCUUUAGUGGAGCAGCUAAUUUCCUGUAAAGAAUAAACCCAUUUUUACAGUGUAGCCCACCGGGAAAUCACUGGGAAUGAUGCAGUGUUUCAGCACCUCUCAUCAGCAAACAAGUUCCCUCUGCUGACCUUUACAUCAUUAAAAUGGGUUUAAACCUUGCAGAAAAUGUGCUCACUGUAACUGUAUCUGCCUGUGAAUCCUAUUACAAACAUAAUGGGAAAUGUCUUUAUGAGCCAUAUGAAAUAACCCACUUCAUGCUACACAAUGAGCACCCCUCACCUUUGGUAGAAUUUGUUUUGUGUGCAUGUUUGGGAUUUUUUUCACUCCGUAAGUUUUUUUUUUUAAUUAAUUGCACAACAUGGAAAACCAUAUGGCGCAAAAGACGGCCACACAGUUCUUCGGGAAGCAACAUUCAUUAACCUCAGGUUUGUGGAGAUGAAGCCCUUCCGAGCAGCAGUGGGAUAAAAAUCCUCAUUAAAAUCCUGCCCACGUAGGCAAUUUGGUUUUAAUUUAUCAAUUAUCCUGAAAAUAAGAGAGUCUCUGCUGGUGAGGAGAUGCUAAUUAGCUAAAAAAGAAAUACAUUUAAUAUUCACUUAGAGUGUCGAAAUCUAACUCGGCUGUUCAUAAAUGAUGCAUCAGAAAUACAGAAGAUUUCUCAUUCAAGGCUUUUGUUUCCCUUGUUGAGGGUGGAAAGCAAUUACUGUGUGAUGAACCAGUGAUCUUCCGCUCGGUCUCUCUGAUCGCGUUGUCUGAGGGACGGGAACGAGCUGGACAGCACCAGCACCCUGGAUCUCCGGCUGGCCCGGGCAGGGUGAUCGCUGUGGACAUGAGACGGUUGUGCAGCUGUAGGAGCUCAGUCUGGCUGCCUUAGAGUGGCUGGAGGCGGAAAGCGGAGCUUAGUCUGAGGCCACAGACCUGCAUUCUGGGGGCUGCUUGUUUAAAUAAAUCAAGCCCCAUUCCUCCUCGUGCCCACAGCAGACUUAGCCUGGCGAGGCUGCGGGCUCACAGGUGCGCUGGCGAGAUACGAGGCUGCUGUUCUGCUCUGCCUCGAGCCCUCGAUACCUCUGCUGCCUCAGGCCCAGGAAUCCUGACUCCUCCUGCACCCAGCUGCACAGACCCAGAAACCCCGGCCAGCACUUCUCCAGCAAACCUGACUUGUUUCAGCAAGUGACUGCUUCGCUUCUUACAGUAUCAGACAUUUUUCCAAAGUUUACAAGAUCUGCACACUUUUUCCCAUGGCUUUCCUGUGCUCUACAAUAGAUCCAUUCAAAACGAUCACAGUCCCUUGGAAAGAAAGGGAUAUUUGUGGUUACAAACCUCUGCAACUUACAAGAGACCAAAAUAGGGCAUUCUGGAUUCGAUCUCCCCCCUGCAAUACAAGUCUGUCUAUUUAAAACACACUGUGAGCCAAUGUCUGAAAGACACUCCACAGUUUUGAUUAAGGAUCAUGCACCCAUUCAGCAGUGCCUUAAUAAAGGCUCAGAGUAAGCAGCUCUCCCCCACGAUCUGAGGAUCUCCAGCUGGAGAAGAAUAAACCUGUCCAGGGCGGUCUGGUGUGCUUCCGCUUCUCGUGUCGGCAACAGGGAAGGUUGACUACACCUUACUGAUGACGACAAUACCUAUUGUGUGUUAAAAAAUAUCUUAAAACAACAAAAGCAUUGAAAUGAAACAAAAUCCCUCCUUAAUGGAAUCUUCAUUAUGGGUAUAAUUAUGGUACAUAAUUUGCACAGGAUAAUAGACUUAUUUUCUGCGAAUCUGGCUCCUGCCCUGCAGUUGCUAUCUCUGAGUGGUGCUUGGAAGUACUUGUCAUUAUGGAAAUUAGACUCUGCUGUGUUUGGGAAGACAGUUGUGUUUCUUCAGAUUUGGCAUGUAGCCUCGUUCAGACAGCAGCUCUCUUCCAGAACGUAUGGAUUUCUGCAACCUGACAGAAACAUUUCCAGUGAACAUAUUCGUAGACACAGGUAUCAUCUCCAACGGUGUUACUCUAGAAUGUAUCCUGUCUUAUUAAUGGUUUCUUCAGCUGCAAUUGCUUGACAAUGAUAUUGUUUGUGAGUUUAUUCAGCACUCAUGUCCCUGGUGUUGGUAACUCAAUUCACAGGUGUGCCGUCUAACAACCUAAUCAAGUACAUUUCUAUUUGUAGUCACAGGGGGUAGCAUGUUCAGAAGUGACCUUAAAUAAAAUAUUAAGAUCCUGAUGCUGCCAUUGUUUAAUAAACUACAGUCCCCAGACCCGUCUGCCUGCGUCUUCAAUAUGAUUCUUACCUCUUGCCAGAGACUGAACUGGAGAGCGCUGUGCUGUGCUGUGAAAUGGGACCGUGUCUCCAGGGAGUGAGCAGGGCAGGAGAGUGGAGCUGUGGUCAGGGCUCAGGACUGCCGACUGCAGGGCUGGGAGUUCCUAUCCCAGAGCCUUGUGCAGCUGCCUUCAAUGUUUUGACUGCUGGCUGGCCGCAGACAGAAACGCUUGGGGCUUUUCGCUUGGAAGUCGAAUCCACAGCUCCAGGGGGACCCAGCAAGACAGCGGUCUUAUUAAGGCAGAGGUCAAGGACUGUGAAGGUCGUCUAAUAUUGUACCAGCAAUAAGACAGUGUCUACCUCCAACACACAAAGCCCUUGCUCCCUGGCCAGCUCAGGUCACUUAAUAUUGUCGUGUCUAGCUGGGAGAUUAGGCUCUGUAGACCAGACAGCCGGAGAGUCAGACACACCUCUCUUCCGGGCGGAUCAUUUUUUUGUCUGUAAUGUCCAAAGCAAAGUGUCUGUGUUUGAAUGUCUCAGUCAGAUUUAUUUCAUUAUUACUUUGCUAUAAGCAGAAGCCAGAACUACAUAGAAGUGCUUUUAAAACUGACAGCAGAAUAC
This is a long non-coding RNA of Lepisosteus oculatus (spotted gar), 5358 nucleotides long. RefSeq lists it as uncharacterized. Lineage: Eukaryota; Metazoa; Chordata; Actinopteri; Semionotiformes; Lepisosteidae. The record is from RefSeq and is a predicted model, not a curated record.